AUCCAGCUGACGAGUCCCAAAUAGGACAAACCGCACGUCCUGGAU
RNAcentral lists this non-coding RNA (45 nucleotides) under Schistosoma margrebowiei. The record is from RNAcentral. Lineage: Eukaryota; Metazoa; Platyhelminthes; Trematoda; Strigeidida; Schistosomatidae.